This 253-nucleotide ribosomal RNA is filed under the name uncultured bacterium. Its description in RNAcentral is "partial 16S ribosomal RNA". It matches the Rfam family "Bacterial small subunit ribosomal RNA", at positions 524 to 776 of the family's 1533-position model. The record is from RNAcentral.
UACAGAGGUCCCAAGCGUUGUUCGGAAUUAUUGGGCGUAAAGGGCGCGUAGGCGGUGCGGUAAGUCUGAUGUGAAAUCUCCGGGCUCAACUCGGAGUCUGCAUCAGAAACUGCCGUGCUCGAGUGUGGGAGAGGUGAGUGGAAUUCCCGGUGUAGCGGUGAAAUGUGUAGAUAUCGGGAGGAACACCUGCGGCGAAAGCGGCUCACUGGACCACAACUGACGCUGAGGCGCGAAAGCUAGGGGAGCAAACAGG